GACGAACGCUGGCGGCGUGCCUAAUACAUGCAAGUCGAGCGGACUUCAUCCUUCGGGGUGAGGUUAGCGGCGGACGGGUGAGUAACACGUAGGCAACCUGCCCUCGAGACUGGGAUAACCUCCGGAAACGGAUGCUAAUACCAGAUACGCGGUCUUCCCUCCUGGGGAGAUCGGGAAAGACGGAGCAAUCUGUUACUCGGGGAUGGGCCUGCGGCGCAUUAGCUAGUUGGUGAGGUAACGGCUCACCAAGGCGACGAUGCGUAGCCGACCUGAGAGGGUGAUCGGCCACACUGGGACUGAGACACGGCCCAGACUCCUACGGGAGGCAGCAGUAGGGAAUCUUCCGCAAUGGACGAAAGUCUGACGGAGCAACGCCGCGUGAGUGAGGAAGGCCCUCGGGUCGUAAAGCUCUGUUGCCAGGGAAGAACGCUUGGGAGAGUAACUGCUCCCAAGGUGACGGACCUGAGAAGAAAGCCCGCA
RNAcentral lists this ribosomal RNA (480 nucleotides) under Paenibacillus sp. oral taxon E29. RNAcentral's name for it is "bacterial SSU rRNA". It matches the Rfam family "Bacterial small subunit ribosomal RNA", at positions 28 to 496 of the family's 1533-position model. The record is from RNAcentral. Lineage: Bacteria; Bacillati; Bacillota; Bacilli; Caryophanales; Paenibacillaceae.